CCUACGGGUGGCUGCAGUGGGGAAUAUUGGGCAAUGGGCGCAAGCCUGACCCAGCAACGCCGCGUGAAGGAAGAAGGCUUUCGGGUUGUAAACUUCUUUUUUCAGGGACGAAGCAAGUGACGGUACUUGAGGAAUUAGCCACGGCUAACUACGUGCCAGCAGCCGCGGGAAUACGUAGGUGGCAAGCGUUAUCCGGAUUUACUGGGUGUAAAGGGCGUGUAGGCGGGAAAGCAAGUCAGAUGUGAAAACCAUGGGCUCAACCUGUGGCCUGCAUUUGAAACUGGUUUUCUUGAGUACUGGAGAGGCAGACGGAAUUCCUGGUGUAGCGGUGAAAUGCGUAGAUAUUACGAAGAACACCGGUGGCGAAGGCAGUCUGCUGGACAGCAACUGACGCUGAAGCGCGAAAGCGUGGGGAGCGAACAGGAUUAGAUACCCGAGUAGUC
Molecule: ribosomal RNA, 443 nt
Filed under: uncultured bacterium
Lineage: Bacteria
Description: partial 16S ribosomal RNA
Rfam family: Bacterial small subunit ribosomal RNA
Source: RNAcentral